RNAcentral lists this ribosomal RNA (497 nucleotides) under uncultured bacterium. RNAcentral describes it as "partial 16S ribosomal RNA". It matches the Rfam family "Bacterial small subunit ribosomal RNA", at positions 28 to 507 of the family's 1533-position model. The record is from RNAcentral.
GAUGAACGCUGGCGGCGUGCCUAAUACAUGCAAGUCGAGCGAACAGAUGAGGAGCUUGCUCCUCUGACGUUAGCGGCGGACGGGUGAGUAACACGUGGAUAACCUACCUAUAAGACUGGGAUAACUUCGGGAAACCGGUGCUAAUACCGGAUAAUAUAUUGAACCGCAUGGUUCAAUAGUGAAAGACGGUUUUGCUGUCACUUAUAGAUGGAUCCGCGCCGCAUUAGCUAGUUGGUAAGGUAACGGCUUACCAAGGCAACGAUGCGUAGCCGACCUGAGAGGGUGAUCGGCCACACUGGAACUGAGACACGGUCCAGACUCCUACGGGAGGCAGCAGUAGGGAAUCUUCCGCAAUGGGCGAAAGCUUGACGGAGCAACGCCGCGUGAGUGAUGAAGGUCUUCGGAUCGUAAAACUCUGUUAUUAGGGAAGAACAAAUGUGUAAGUAACUAUGCACGUCUUGACGGUACCUAAUCAGAAAGCCACGGCUAACUACGUG